UGGGUUGUGAGGUAAGCGACUAAGCGUAAACGGUGGAUGGCUUGGCACAA
This 50-nucleotide ribosomal RNA is filed under the name Pantoea agglomerans. Its description in RNAcentral is "partial 23S ribosomal RNA". Lineage: Bacteria; Pseudomonadati; Pseudomonadota; Gammaproteobacteria; Enterobacterales; Erwiniaceae. The record is from RNAcentral.